RNAcentral lists this transfer RNA (116 nucleotides) under Bipolaris maydis (southern corn leaf blight pathogen). Its description in RNAcentral is "tRNA-Ile". It matches the Rfam family "tRNA". Rfam says of the family: Transfer RNA (tRNA) molecules are approximately 80 nucleotides in length. Their secondary structure includes four short double-helical elements and three loops (D, anti-codon, and T loops). Further hydrogen bonds mediate the characteristic L-shaped molecular structure. tRNAs have two regions of fundamental functional importance: the anti-codon, which is responsible for specific mRNA codon recognition, and the 3' end, to which the tRNAs corresponding amino acid is attached (by aminoacyl-tRNA synthetases). tRNAs cope with the degeneracy of the genetic code in two manners: having more than one tRNA (with a specific anti-codon) for a particular amino acid; and 'wobble' base-pairing, i.e. permitting non-standard base-pairing at the 3rd anti-codon position. Lineage: Eukaryota; Fungi; Ascomycota; Dothideomycetes; Pleosporales; Pleosporaceae. RNAcentral also lists the same sequence under 2 other names. The record is from RNAcentral.
GGUCGCUUAGCUCAGUUGGUUAGAGCGUGGUGCUAAUAAAUCCAGGCUAGGAGCCCUGCUCCUACAAAGGAUCUCAGUUAACGCCAAGGUCGCGAGUUCGACCCUCGUAGUGACCA